GUGCCAGCAGCCGCGGUAACACGUAGGGGGCGAGCGUUGUUCGGAAUCAUUGGGCGUAAAGGGCGCGCAGGCGGCUGCGGGAGCCCGGCGUGAAAUCCACAGGCCCAACCUGUGGGGGUCGCCGGGGACUCCGCGGCUGGAGUCCAGGAAGCGGUUCAGGAAUUCCCGGUGUAGGGGUGAAAUCUGUAGAUAUCGGGAAGAACACCAAUGGCGAAGGCGUGGGCCGGGCCAUGGACUGACGCUGAGGCGCGAAGGUGCGGGGAGCGAACAGGUUUAGAUACCCUGGUAGUCCGCACAGUAAACGAUGUGCACCAGGUGGCGGGGGGCUGACCCCCGGUACCGGAGCGAACGCAGUAAGUGCACCGCCUGGGGAGUAUGCCCGCAAGGGUGAA
This 392-nucleotide ribosomal RNA is filed under the name uncultured bacterium. RNAcentral's name for it is "bacterial SSU rRNA". It matches the Rfam family "Bacterial small subunit ribosomal RNA", at positions 505 to 898 of the family's 1533-position model. The record is from RNAcentral.